This 884-nucleotide ribosomal RNA is filed under the name Cordyceps fumosorosea. RNAcentral's name for it is "partial large subunit ribosomal RNA". It matches the Rfam family "Eukaryotic large subunit ribosomal RNA", at positions 40 to 956 of the family's 3401-position model. The record is from RNAcentral. Lineage: Eukaryota; Fungi; Ascomycota; Sordariomycetes; Hypocreales; Cordycipitaceae.
AUAUCAAUAAGCGGAGGAAAAGAAACCAACAGGGAUUGCCCCAGUAACGGCGAGUGAAGCGGCAACAGCUCAAAUUUGAAAUCUGGCCCCCGGGUCCGAGUUGUAAUUUGCAGAGGAUGCUUCGGGCGAGGUGCCUUCCGAGUUCCCUGGAACGGGACGCCACAGAGGGUGAGAGCCCCGUCUGGUCGGACACCGAGCCCGUGUGAAGCUCCUUCGAAGAGUCGAGUAGUUUGGGAAUGCUGCUCAAAACGGGAGGUAUAUGUCUUCUAAAGCUAAAUAUUGGCCAGAGACCGAUAGCGCACAAGUAGAGUGAUCGAAAGAUGAAAAGCACUUUGAAAAGAGGGUUAAAAAGUACGUGAAAUUGUUGAAAGGGAAGCGCCCAUGACCAGACUUGGGCCCGGUGAAUCACCCGGCGUUCUCGCCGGUGCACUUUGCCGGGCACAGGCCAGCAUCAGUUUGGCGCGGGGGAGAAAGGCUUCGGGAACGUGGCUCCCUCGGGAGUGUUAUAGCCCGCUGCGCAAUACCCUGCGCCGGACUGAGGUACGCGCAUCGCAAGGAUGCUGGCGUAAUGGUCAUCAGCGACCCGUCUUGAAACACGGACCAAGGAGUCGUCUUCGUAUGCGAGUGUUCGGGUGUCAAACCCCUACGCGGAAUGAAAGUGAACGCAGGUGAGAGCUUCGGCGCAUCAUCGACCGAUCCUGAUGUUCUCGGAUGGAUUUGAGUAAGAGCAUACGGGGCCGGACCCGAAAGAAGGUGAACUAUGCCUGUAUAGGGUGAAGCCAGAGGAAACUCUGGUGGAAGCUCGCAGCGGUUCUGACGUGCGAAUCGAUCGUCAAAUAUGGGCAUGGGGGCGAAAGACUAAUCGAACCUUCUAGUAGCUGGUU